Molecule: non-coding RNA, 137 nt
Organism: Kluyvera ascorbata ATCC 33433
Lineage: Bacteria; Pseudomonadati; Pseudomonadota; Gammaproteobacteria; Enterobacterales; Enterobacteriaceae
Source: Rfam
UUGAACAACACACUCUAGCCUCUGCGCCUAAGUUGAAAAAUAGGGCGCUUUGGCCGCAACAGGCUUCACUGUUGCCAGGGCGAAGGAAGAAAUGAUCUCGCCUCCCGUAUUUGGAAAGGUGUCUAUGGCUUCACAAC